CGAGACUCCGUCUUGAAAAAAAAAGAAAAGAAAAAGAAAGAAAGAAACAUCAGUGAGGCCAGCCUGGCUGGAGGCAGUAGGGAGCCAGGGAGCAAGCAGUAGAAAGUGAAAGUUGAGAAGAGAAAAGAAGAACUCAGAGAGUCUUCUAUGCCACCAUAAGAACUAGCGUUUCCCCCCUGGGGGAGAUAGCAGCCACUGGGAGAUUCCAAGGAGAGGAAUGACACCGGCUAAUACUUGAACAAGAUCACUACAUCUUGUCUUCUCUGUUGCUCCUGGACUGCAGGGGACAAGUGUGAAAGCAGGGAGACCAGCUGGGGAGCUACCACAACAGACGGAAGAACCAGAUCCAAUGAUAUGUGUAAGAAGAAUAAUUUCAGUGCAAUUGAAAGAACAGAUGCACAAUUGACUCUGUCAAGUGAUGGAAUGACCCGUCUCAAAUAAAGCCAAUGAGGUUGGUGAUGGUGAAGAUGAUGAUGAUGUUGAUGAUGAUGACACUAGUGAACAAAGGCUGGGCGAAGAGUCUGGGUCAAUUGUAGGGAUGAACACUUCACAUCCACCAUUUCAUUUAAUCUUCACAACAACCCUCUGACAUGGCCAUUCUUUAUCUUCAUGUCAUCGUGAACUAAGUAAAGAUGAAAGAGUUUAAGAAACACAUAGCUGUGUGUAUCGGAGCCCAGACUUGAAGCUGGGCCCGUAGCUAGUGUUUGUACACCAAACAUAGUCACUGUCCUGUCUCAUGAGGGAAGGAGGGUCCUGUCACUAUGGUCAUGCAAGCAGAGGACAGAGGAUGCUAAAUGGGUCACUGAGCUUCAACCAGAAUUCUUGAUCGCUGAGAAUUCCCUCAGCCAGAGACUCCAAGAGGUGAGGAACCUGCAUCUGUGUGAGGCCCAGGUCAUGUGGUAUGGCCCAUCUCCAGAGACUCUUCCUGGCCCCCUUUGCUUCCCUGCCCUCCUUUGUCACCGAAAUCACAAACGAGCUCAACAUUCCCUAGCUAGGAACAGCCCCACUGCUGGAGCAGCCAGUGACCAGCCCCAUCGGAACUCUUCCCCACUUCCCUGGAAUGUCUCCCCCAGCUAUACCUUUGAGCACCUUCCACUGGGCCUCCCAGGCUGCCAUUGCAGUUUCCUCUCCCUCCCUGAGAAUCCCCAUGGGAGAGGAAUAACAGAGCAUCAGGAAGGCGUUUCAAAUAGCAUCAUGUCACAGGAAGAGUGUUGGCCUGUGGUCAAACACAUGCAGAUCUGAACUUCAGUUCAACUCCAUUUUGAAACCUUGGUCCAAUUGACCACUGGGUCUUGGACUCAUCAUUUGAAAAGUGCAGAGUUGCUCUUCAAGCUGAAACUUCAGCCCAAAUCAACUUUUACUCUCAUAAUGAUGAAAAGGAAACUGGCAGCUGCUUGGGGCAUAACAACCAACACAUCCUUUGAUCUGAUCUUUUUCUGCAUCCUCACUUCUUUAUGACUCCUCCAUUACUUAGAGAUUGAAGACCCCACAGCAGAUAGAAAAUUAAACAAGAGAAUGUGUGAGUGGCUGGAACCUUGAAGGACCUCAGACAAUGGCAUCUCUCACUACAUCAUGCAGUAGUUGUAUUUCCAGGCCCUGAAUUCCCAUUAAUUACUGCUCUGAAAGUGGGCUUGGGGACAAGGAAAAUGUCAGCACCUCCCCUACCUCACAGGUAUCACAGACCCUCAUAAGCACCACUUGGAUGUUUUCAGGGUGGCUUCCUGUCCCAUCUUUUAGAAAUCUUGCUUUGAAACAUCGUCAACUCUAGUUUUCUCCUUGUUGGGCUGUGAGGAAGAAUGUAAAGGAUUCGGUCAUUUCAGAUUGUGAAAUGGGCUCCUUCUUAAUCGGGUUUCUGUAAUCCCAUGGUCUGAGGAGAUUUUCUGGAGUCUGAUAAAUCUCCUCUUCAACUCACGUCAAUGCAAUAAGGAGGUUAGUCGAGUACUUACUAGGUAGUGAUGUCAAGGUGAUGAUGAGGGAAAUGCCAAAUAAUGUGGUCAAUGACAAGAAUUUUUAUUUAUUCAGCUACAAC
This 2029-nucleotide long non-coding RNA is filed under the name Homo sapiens (human). RNAcentral's name for it is "HSALNT0069004". The record is from RNAcentral. Lineage: Eukaryota; Metazoa; Chordata; Mammalia; Primates; Hominidae.